AAAAAGGCUCCGGAGCCACAAAUACAAAUAAUAAAGAGACC
This is a non-coding RNA of Candidatus Peribacteria bacterium, 41 nucleotides long. NCBI's taxonomy places the organism in Bacteria, Candidatus Peregrinibacteriota, Candidatus Peribacteria. The record is from Rfam.